GAUGAACGCUAGCUACAGGCUUAACACAUGCAAGUCGCAGGGUAACAUGAGGAAAGCUUGCUUUCCUUGAUGACGACUGGCGCACGGGUGAGUAACGCGUAUCCAACCUUCCCAUAACUACGGGAUAACCCGUUGAAAGACGGCCUAAUACCGUAUGAUAUCGUUUGCUGACAUCAAAUAACGAUUAAAGGUUUAGCGGUUAUGGAUGGGGAUGCGUCUGAUUAGCUUGUUGGCGGGGUAACGGCCCACCAAGGCGACGAUCAGUAGGGGUGCUGAGAGGAGAAUAAGCCAAACGGGGAAUGAGAGACGGCCCAGACUCGUACGGGAGGCAGCAGGGGGGAAUAUUGGACAAUGGGCGCAAGCCGGAUCCAGCCAUGCCGCGUGAGUGAUGAAGGUAUUAGGAGUGUAAAGAUCUUUCACCGGUGAAGAUAAUGACGGUAGCCGGAGAAGAAGCCCCGGCUAACUUCGUG
RNAcentral lists this ribosomal RNA (470 nucleotides) under uncultured bacterium. RNAcentral's name for it is "partial 16S ribosomal RNA". It matches the Rfam family "Bacterial small subunit ribosomal RNA", at positions 28 to 507 of the family's 1533-position model. The record is from RNAcentral.